UCUUGAACAUUAAAAUUAUUAGUUGUGUGAUUUAUAAAGUCUAAGAUAAAAUAAUAAAGAGUAUGUUAUGUUGGGGCGACAGAGAUAUAGAAAACUUAACUGUUUAGUUAACUUAACAAUGAUAAUUGAAUUUAAGAUCCUUUAUAAAGAUUAUAAGAUUAAGUU
RNAcentral lists this ribosomal RNA (165 nucleotides) under Diogenes avarus. RNAcentral's name for it is "partial 16S ribosomal RNA". Lineage: Eukaryota; Metazoa; Arthropoda; Malacostraca; Decapoda; Diogenidae. The record is from RNAcentral.